Molecule: long non-coding RNA, 737 nt
Filed under: Sorghum bicolor (sorghum)
Lineage: Eukaryota; Viridiplantae; Streptophyta; Magnoliopsida; Poales; Poaceae
Description: long non-coding RNA (SBIC_LNC009496)
Source: RNAcentral
CUGCCCCUCUCGACUCCCUUACUUCCCAGAGCUCCUCUCCCUCCGUGAGCCCGUCCUCUCCCUCCUCCCCCAAGCUCCUCCCUGGUGGUGGCGGAGGGCCCUCUCCCCCUGAGCCGCUCCACCGGUGGAGGCGCUCCCCAGCAAUCGAAUCUGGCAACCUCGAUGGCGGCGCCCUCCCUCAAACUGCUUCAUCGGUGGCGAGGUGCAGUUCUCCCUAGAGCUGCUUCCUCGUCGAUGAUGUGCUCUCCUCCCUCGAGCUAUUUCUCGGCAAACGGUGCGCCCUUCCCUCCCCCAUCUCCUUCUCCGGCGACCGUAGCGGCCGGAUCUAUUGUUAGUGGCUGGUUCCGCCACCGUUGUGGCCAGAUCUAGCGGAGGUGUGGUGGUGCGAGGUGGAGAUGCGACGCCCCCUGCUACGGCGAAGGUGUGGUGGCCAGAUCUAGCAGACGCACACACGGCAGAUCAAGCUUCCCUGGUGGUGGAUCGAGCAAUCUCGGUUGUGGCGCUCACAAGGUGGGGCCUACACCCACGACGACAGCGACGCGUAGGGGUGGCAGCGCGAGUCCCAGAUCCAAGUCCAUUAGGUCUAGGUUGUGGGUUUUUUCAUUGUUUUUGAUUUUUUUCAUACUGAUUAACCGAGGUGGGCAAAGUACCCGCCUCCAUGGUAUGCCUAUUAAUGGUAUUAAUGGUGACCUUCAAUUAGAGGCGGUUGAGAUGCCCGCCUUCAUUAACCCAUUCUA